AUACGGAGGGUGCAAGCGUUAAUCGGAAUUACUGGGCGUAAAGGGCGCGUAGGCGGUCUAUCAAGUCAGGUGUGAAAUCCCACGGCUCAACCGUGGAGGUGCAUCUGAAACUGAUAGACUUGAGUAUGGGAGAGGAAAGUGGAAUUCCCGGUGUAGAGGUGAAAUUCGUAGAUAUCGGGAGGAACACCAGUGGCGAAGGCGACUUUCUGGACCAAUACUGACGCUGAGGCGCGAAAGCGUGGGGAGCAAACGGGAUUAGAAACCCCAGUAGUCC
This 274-nucleotide ribosomal RNA is filed under the name uncultured bacterium. RNAcentral describes it as "partial 16S ribosomal RNA". It matches the Rfam family "Bacterial small subunit ribosomal RNA", at positions 523 to 796 of the family's 1533-position model. The record is from RNAcentral.